RNAcentral lists this long non-coding RNA (990 nucleotides) under Equus asinus (donkey). RNAcentral's name for it is "lncRNA (ENSEASG00005038391.1)". The record is from RNAcentral. Lineage: Eukaryota; Metazoa; Chordata; Mammalia; Perissodactyla; Equidae.
GUGAAGCUGGUAAGUAAUUGGGCUAAAUAAGAAUUUUCCCCAGGUGAAAAUGGGGACCCGAACUGAAAAUGGAGGAAACCCACCUCCUGAGUCUUUGGUGAAAGAGUGAAGCUAUAUUCCAGACUACGACUUUAUGACCUUUCUAUCACUUGGUAAGGAGUGAUCCCAAAAAGUGGUGUGAUCCUUGCAAGUGAGUAAGAUGCCUGCCUUCCUGGAGGCCCGGAGAAAUUGAGGGAGGGAAAGCGUCCUUCAAGAUGCGGAAUCACGCAAGGCAGUGGGACUAGGAAUCCCUUUUAAAGUUUCUCUAAAUCACUUAAAGUCAUCUAUCCUUCGUCAUGAGAAGAUACCUGUUGGAACAGAAGUAAAGCCGCUCUUGACCCAGGAAGGGUUAAUAAUCACUGGAAAAGGCUUGCCAGCAAACUGUGACCCGGAGGUGAGAAGGCCGGUUAGCCAAUGACAGCAAUAUGAACAGAAGUUGUGAGAGGGAAGAUGUUAAAGAGAAAGAUACAAUGAUCGGCAAACAACUGAAGAAAAUAGCUGCCUCUCUCUCCAGUCAGAUCACCUAAAUUAGCCAAGUUGUUAAGAACUGCUUUUGUUGCUUUUUGUUUGCUUGCUGCUGUAGAAAUACAUCAGGACUAAUUCUGUGGAGUCUGUCUCCUUUGAAGUGACUGGCCACUGAUGUCUCCACUUCAUUUAUAUGUUUAAGUCUGGAUUCCUAUAAUGUGUCCUUCUGUAUGCAAAGCUUCAGAGUCAACCAGUGACUGGUCUUAAUUUUCACUGAAACUGGAAAAAAUAGGUGAUUUGCUGAGUGCUAAGAGGAAGUGAUGGUGUAUUUUGGUGCCGAUCCAGGUGCUGAUGCGUGGAUCCAGGUGCUGAAUCGUGGAUGAAGGUGCUGAUGCAUAGAUCCAGAUGCUGAGCUGUGGAUCCAGGUGCUGAUGCAUGGAUGUGUUCUUUAUGCAAAAAUUCGUAAAUUCUUAUUCUUUGAUUUGU